RNAcentral lists this ribosomal RNA (452 nucleotides) under Corynebacterium diphtheriae bv. mitis. RNAcentral's name for it is "bacterial SSU rRNA". It matches the Rfam family "Bacterial small subunit ribosomal RNA", at positions 1 to 455 of the family's 1533-position model. Lineage: Bacteria; Bacillati; Actinomycetota; Actinomycetes; Mycobacteriales; Corynebacteriaceae. The record is from RNAcentral.
UUUAUGGAGAGUUUGAUCCUGGCUCAGGACGAACGCUGGCGGCGUGCUUAACACAUGCAAGUCGAACGGAAAGGCCUAGCUUGCUAGGUACUCGAGUGGCGAACGGGUGAGUAACACGUGGGUGAUCUGCCUCGUACUUCGGGAUAAGCCUGGGAAACUGGGUCUAAUACUGGAUAGGACCAUGCUUUAGUGUGUGUGGUGGAAAGUUUUUUCGGUACGAGAUGAGCCCGCGGCCUAUCAGCUUGUUGGUGGGGUAAUGGCCUACCAAGGCGUCGACGGGUAGCCGGCCUGAGAGGGUGGACGGCCACAUUGGGACUGAGAUACGGCCCAGACUCCUACGGGAGGCAGCAGUGGGGAAUAUUGCACAAUGGGCGCAAGCCUGAUGCAGCGACGCCGCGUGGGGGAUGACGGCCUUCGGGUUGUAAACCUCUUUCGCUAGGGACGAAGCUUUU